UACAGAGGUCUCAAGCGUUGUCCGGAAUCAUUGGGCGUAAAGAGCGUGUAGGCGGCUCGAUAAGUCUGCUGUGAAAGUCCAGGGCUCAACCCUGGAAGGCCGGUGGAAACUGUCGGGCUAGAGUCCGGAAGAGGCGAGUGGAAUUCCCGGUGUAGCGGUGAAAUGCGCAGAUAUCGGGAGGAACACCAAUGGUGAAGGCAGCUCGCUGGGACGGUACUGACGCUGAGACGCGAAAGCGUGGGGAGCAAACAGG
This 253-nucleotide ribosomal RNA is filed under the name uncultured bacterium. RNAcentral's name for it is "partial 16S ribosomal RNA". It matches the Rfam family "Bacterial small subunit ribosomal RNA", at positions 524 to 776 of the family's 1533-position model. The record is from RNAcentral.